GACGAACGCUGGCGGCGUGCCUAAUACAUGCAAGUAGAACGCUGAAGGAGGAGCUUGCUUCUCUGGAUGAGUUGCGAACGGGUGAGUAACGCGUAGGUAACCUGCCUGGUAGCGGGGGAUAACUAUUGGAAACGAUAGCUAAUACCGCAUAAUAGUAGAUGUUGCAUGACAUUUGCUUAAAAGGUGCAAUUGCAUCACUACCAGAUGGACCUGCGUUGUAUUAGCUAGUUGGUGGGGUAACGGCUCACCAAGGCGACGAUACAUAGCCGACCUGAGAGGGUGAUCGGCCACACUGGGACUGAGACACGGCCCAGACUCCUAUGGGAGGCAGCAGUAGGGAAUCUUCGGCAAUGGACGGAAGUCUGACCGAGCAACGCCGCGUGAGUGAAGAAGGGUGUCGGAUCGUAAAGCUCUGUUGUAAGAGAAGAACGAGUGUGAGAGUGGAAAGUUCACACUGUGACGGUAUCUUACCAGAAAGGGACGGCUAACUACGUG
This 495-nucleotide ribosomal RNA is filed under the name uncultured bacterium. RNAcentral describes it as "partial 16S ribosomal RNA". It matches the Rfam family "Bacterial small subunit ribosomal RNA", at positions 28 to 507 of the family's 1533-position model. The record is from RNAcentral.